RNAcentral lists this ribosomal RNA (441 nucleotides) under uncultured bacterium. RNAcentral's name for it is "partial 16S ribosomal RNA". It matches the Rfam family "Bacterial small subunit ribosomal RNA", at positions 338 to 795 of the family's 1533-position model. The record is from RNAcentral.
CCUACGGGCGGCAGCAGUGGGGGAUAUUGCACAAUGGGGGAAACCCUGAUGCAGCGACGCCGCGUGGGUGAAGAAGUAUUUCGGUAUGUAAAGCCCUAUCAGCAGGGAAGAAAGAAGACGGUACCUGACUAAGAAGCCCCGGCUAACUACGUGCCAGCAGCCGCGGUAAUACGUAGGGGGCGAGCGUUAUCCGGAUUCACUGGGUGUAAAGGGAGCGUAGACGGCCGUGCAAGCCAGGAGUGAAAGCCCGGGGCCCAACCCCGGGACUGCGCUUGGAACUGGGCGGCUGGAGUGCGGGAGGGGCAGGCGGAAUUCCUGGUGUAGCGGUGAAAUGCGUAGAUAUCAGGAGGAACACCGGCGGCGAAGGCGGCCUGCUGGACCGCGACUGACGUUGAGGCUCGAAAGCGUGGGGAGCGAACAGGAUUAGAUACCCGGGUAGUC